CGGGAGUAACGCGUGGGCAACCUGCCUCAUACAGGGGGAUAAAAGUUAAGAAAGACUGCUAAUACCGCAUAAGCGCACAGCAUCGCAUGAUGCCGUGUGAAAAACUCCGGUGGUAUGAGAUGGACCCGCGUCUGAUUAGGUAGUUGGUGGGGUAACGGCCUACCAAGCCGACGAUCAGUAGCCGACCUGAGAGGGUGACCGGCCACAUUGGGACUGAGACACGGCCCAA
This 229-nucleotide ribosomal RNA is filed under the name uncultured bacterium. RNAcentral describes it as "partial 16S ribosomal RNA". It matches the Rfam family "Bacterial small subunit ribosomal RNA", at positions 106 to 334 of the family's 1533-position model. The record is from RNAcentral.